GUCUACGGCCACGCCACCCUGAACGAGCCCCAUCCCGUCUGAUCUCGGGAGCUAAGCGGGGUCGGGCCUGGUCGGUCCUUGGGUGGGAGACCACCUAGGAAGACUGGGUGCUGCAGGCG
This 119-nucleotide ribosomal RNA is filed under the name Pteropus alecto (black flying fox). Lineage: Eukaryota; Metazoa; Chordata; Mammalia; Chiroptera; Pteropodidae. The record is from RNAcentral.